CAAUAUAAUAUUUUAAUAGGUGUCGAUUGUAAUCAGAAGUAUUAUAAAUCGGUGAAAAGGGGAAGAUGGGUGAAAGUCCCACGCGGUCCCGCCGCUGUAAGAGAGGAGUCCCUCUGAGAAUGCCACUGAAUGAUCGGGAAGGCAAGAGGUGAUGAUGAUGCUUGAGCCAGAAUACCUGCCUGUUUUAAUACCUGUUG
RNAcentral lists this non-coding RNA (197 nucleotides) under Clostridium carboxidivorans. RNAcentral also lists the same sequence under 1 other name. Lineage: Bacteria; Bacillati; Bacillota; Clostridia; Eubacteriales; Clostridiaceae. The record is from RNAcentral.